GACGAACGCUGGCGGCGUGCUUAACACAUGCAAGUCGAACGGAAAGGCCCUGCUUUUGUGGGGUGCUCGAGUGGCGAACGGGUGAGUAACACGUGAGUAACAUGCCCUUGACUUUGGGAUAACUUCAGGAAACUGGGGCUAAUACCGGAUAGGAGCUCCUGCUGCAUGGUGGGGGUUGGAAAGUUUCGGCGGUUGGGGAUGGACUCGCGGCUUAUCAGCUUGUUGGUGGGGUAGUGGCUUACCAAGGCUUUGACGGGUAGCCGGACUGAGAGGGUGACCGGCCACAUUGGGAUUGAGGUGCGGCCAGGACUCCUACGGGAGGCAGCAGUGGGGAAUAUUGCACAAUGGGCGGAAGCCGGAUGCAGCAACGCCGCGUGCUGGAUGACGGUCUUCGGGUUGUAACCCGCUUUCGCCUGUGACGAAGCGUGAGUGACGGUAAUGGGUAAAGAAGCACCGGCUAACUACGUG
This 468-nucleotide ribosomal RNA is filed under the name uncultured bacterium. RNAcentral's name for it is "partial 16S ribosomal RNA". It matches the Rfam family "Bacterial small subunit ribosomal RNA", at positions 28 to 507 of the family's 1533-position model. The record is from RNAcentral.